RNAcentral lists this transfer RNA (70 nucleotides) under Dipodomys ordii (Ord's kangaroo rat). It matches the Rfam family "tRNA". Rfam says of the family: Transfer RNA (tRNA) molecules are approximately 80 nucleotides in length. Their secondary structure includes four short double-helical elements and three loops (D, anti-codon, and T loops). Further hydrogen bonds mediate the characteristic L-shaped molecular structure. tRNAs have two regions of fundamental functional importance: the anti-codon, which is responsible for specific mRNA codon recognition, and the 3' end, to which the tRNAs corresponding amino acid is attached (by aminoacyl-tRNA synthetases). tRNAs cope with the degeneracy of the genetic code in two manners: having more than one tRNA (with a specific anti-codon) for a particular amino acid; and 'wobble' base-pairing, i.e. permitting non-standard base-pairing at the 3rd anti-codon position. The record is from Rfam by way of RNAcentral. Lineage: Eukaryota; Metazoa; Chordata; Mammalia; Rodentia; Heteromyidae.
GGAAAUGUAGCUUAGUGGUAGAGUGCUUGUCUAGCAUGCAUGAAGCCCUGGGUUCAAUUCCUCAGUACCA